RNAcentral lists this long non-coding RNA (1372 nucleotides) under Homo sapiens (human). Its description in RNAcentral is "HSALNT0134224". Lineage: Eukaryota; Metazoa; Chordata; Mammalia; Primates; Hominidae. The record is from RNAcentral.
UUUGAUUGCUGUAAACUCUACUAAAGAAAGAAGAUCAUGAACCUGAAGAUGAGAGAUGAUUUCCUGUAGUGUAAGUGGAGGAGCCAGGACUUGAACCGCGGCAAUGGGGGUCGGCACCAACAGGCUAAACUGCCUCCCAGGGCACUGGGCACAUCUUUCCUUCUCACCCUUGCACUGUGUCACAAGGGGCAGCAGCUGUCUUUAAUUUCAUGUUUCACUCUCUCAAAAUUUCCCCCUUUUUUAUUUUCUAAAACUCAGCCUACACUGAUUAAUUGCUGUCCCAUGCUCUACUGCCUUUGUCCUGGGUCUCUCUCCUUCUUAGACACCUCCACUUUAAAGCAAUCUGGAAUCCCUGACUUCUCCAGCUCUAUAUUUUUGGCCAGUUUGUCAUCAUUUGCAUAAAGAAGCUCAAAAGACAGCCUGGGGGCAUGCCACACCCUCCUACAAAGGGGCAGGAGGAGAGACACAAUUCUCAUCACACAUUUUCAAGUUUCUAGAAGAUGCCUCUGCAAUACUUCAGUACGGAGCACACACUUCCUGAACUACUCCAAGUGGAAAUGAUUUCACCUUUCUCUGAAUCUUUAUAGAAUGUGUUUCUGUUUCUAUUGAUUUGACCCUAGUAUUUAACCAUACAAAGCGAAUGGUAGGUGUGUUGCCUUUAGCAAGUUAUUCAUCACUUUGUACCUUAGUUUCUUUCUCUGUAAAAUGGAGAAAAUAAUAUCUACACUUCAAGGUCGUGGGAGGGAUUAAAUAACGCAAGAUACCUAUUAAUACUUGGCAUACAGUUGACAAUCAUUAGUCAUGAGUUCAUCUUGAAUCUGAUUCUGAAGGCAGAAUAUGUAUCUUUCCUCAUACCUGCAGUGUUGAGUCAUUGUAUUAGUCCUGAGGAAGUGACUGGAAAAGAAGUCUCAAUUUCACUGCCAAAGAAAUAAUUGGAUCAAGGUUACAUAGCGUAUUUAAAAAAAAAAAAAAACAACUCAAGCAAACAAACAAAAUAAAUGUGUGCAUGCUUAUAACCCUCUUAUGCAUGAUUUCCAGGUCAGACAUUUCUAAAUGUAGCCUUCUGUGGACACCUUUGAGCACUGAAUGACAGAUGGCAUAGAGUGAUGGACAAGGAAAUGGACCCAGAUAGGAAAUCUGGGUUCUAACCAUUCCUCCCUAGCUACGUGACCCAACUUAAGGUACUUAUUUUCCUUAGGCUCAGUAGGUCUUUUUUUGUUUGUUUUUGUUUUUUUAUCCUUUAAAUGGGAAAUACUAAAAAAAAAAAAAAAAAGCAAAACAAAAACAAAAACAAAAACAAAAACACCCAACAACCAAACAAUAGGGAUUUCUGCUUGCUUCAUAGAUUGGCUGUGUCAAGAAAGAUAACCUA